RNAcentral lists this ribosomal RNA (917 nucleotides) under uncultured bacterium. Its description in RNAcentral is "bacterial SSU rRNA". It matches the Rfam family "Bacterial small subunit ribosomal RNA", at positions 29 to 946 of the family's 1533-position model. The record is from RNAcentral.
UUGAACGCUGGCGGAAUGCUUUACACAUGCAAGUCGAACGGCAGCACGGGGCAACCUGGUGGCGAGUGGCGAACGGGUGAGUAAUACAUCGGAACGUGCCCAAUCGUGGGGGAUAACGUAGCGAAAGUUACGCUAAUACCGCAUACGAUCUACGGAUGAAAGCGGGGGAUCGCAAGACCUCGCGCGAAUGGAGCGGCCGAUGUCAGAUUAGGUAGUUGGUGGGGUAAAGGCUCACCAAGCCAAUGAUCUGUAGCUGGUCUGAGAGGACGACCAGCCACACUGGAACUGAGACACGGUCCAGACUCCUACGGGAGGCAGCAGUGGGGAAUUUUGGACAAUGGGCGCAAGCCUGAUCCAGCCAUUCCGCGUGCAGGAUGAAGGCCUUCGGGUUGUAAACUGCUUUUGUACGGAACGAAACGGUCUGCCCUAAUACGGCGGGCUAAUGACGGUACCGUAAGAAUAGCACCGGCUAACUCUGUGCCAGCAGCCGCGGUAAUACAGAGGGUGCAAGCGUUAAUCGGAAUUACUGGGCGUAAAGCGCGCGUAGGCGGUAUGUUAAGUCGGAUGUGAAAUCCCUGGGCUCAACCUAGGCAUUGCAUCCGAUACUGGCACACUAGAGUGUGGGAGAGGAAGGUAGAAUUCCAGGUGUAGCGGUGAAAUGCGUAGAGAUCUGGAGGAAUACCGAUGGCGAAGGCAGCCUUCUGGCCUAACACUGACGCUGAGGUGCGAAAGCAUGGGGAGCAAACAGGAUUAGAUACCCUGGUAGUCCAUGCCGUAAACGAUGUCAACUAGCCGUUGGGCUCCUUGAGGGCUUAGUGGCGCAGCUAACGCGAUAAGUUGACCGCCUGGGGAGUACGGUCGCAAGACUAAAACUCAAUGAAUUGACGGGGGCCCGCACAAGCGUGGAGCAUGUGGUU